CAACUCUCAACAACGGAUAUCUUGGCUCCCGUAACGAUGAAGAACGCAGCGAAAUGCGAUACGUAGUGUGAAUUGCAGAAUUAUGUGAAUCAUCGAAUUUUUGAACGCAAAUUGCGCCCAAGGUCUCGGCCGAGGGCAUGUCUGCCUCAGCGUCGUCGU
RNAcentral lists this ribosomal RNA (159 nucleotides) under Choricystis parasitica. RNAcentral describes it as "5.8S ribosomal RNA". It matches the Rfam family "5.8S ribosomal RNA". Rfam says of the family: 5.8S ribosomal RNA (5.8S rRNA) is a component of the large subunit of the eukaryotic ribosome. It is transcribed by RNA polymerase I as part of the 45S precursor that also contains 18S and 28S rRNA. Lineage: Eukaryota; Viridiplantae; Chlorophyta; Trebouxiophyceae. The record is from RNAcentral.